GCAGAGCCUCCCCAGCACCACUUGGCUCCUGGCGGCCCUGCCUCCGGGUGCCGGGGUGGCCGAGGCCCAGGCCGCGCCAGCCGCGACCGGGGGACCGAUGGAUGAGGGUGGCCAGAGAGCAGGACGGCUGAGGGCCCGUCGGACCUGGGGCUGCCACCGGGCUGGGGGGGGCCGGCCUCCUGGCCGGCGGGCCCUGCCCUCCCCCCACCACCGCCACUGUGCCCAGCCGUCCCAGGGGGCACCGCUUCCACUCCCUUGCUUUUGAGGAAGCUCCCCAGCCUCCUGCACCUUGGGACCCGACUCCUCCCAUCCCCCCCCCGCGGAACUGGGACCCAUCGUGGCCUUUGGGACACACUCCACGACCACGUGGCCCAGGACUCACCCCUGCGUCCUGCAACCUUGCUCUGCGGGUGACUCUGUAGCUCACGUGACUGUCCGUGCACCACCCUCAGUCUGCCCAGACUUGGGCUUCCGGGGAGAGGUCUGGACGCAGGAGGCCCCCUCCGUCUCUGGUCCCUUCCCUGCGCUGAGCCCCUGGUGCCUCGCCCAUGCCCAGCGCGGACAGGACCUCUGCUCGGCACCCCGUGGUGGCCUGUCCUCUGCGGGGACUUGGCCCUGCCCUCCGCAGCACCCUGGGUUCCUGUGGACAGACGGGCCGCCCUGUUUCUCAGAAGUUGGCACAGACGGGGGUUCACAGAAACGUGAGGCCUGGGAUGACGGACCCGACACCCCGUGGCAGAGCCCCACUGAGGCAGGCACCCAGGGCCUGCUCCCAAGACUGACCCGAGUCUGACGCCCACAGCCAGGGUGAAGCAGGAACUCCUGACGCUAAACUUCCAGCCAGCCUUGAUUUACCCAGAUAGACGCGAAGGCCUUAAAGAUAGCUUGCGUUUGGUCUUUUGGUCCCAGUGAAAAUACAA
Hyaena hyaena (striped hyena) is the source of this 920-nucleotide long non-coding RNA. RefSeq lists it as uncharacterized. Lineage: Eukaryota; Metazoa; Chordata; Mammalia; Carnivora; Hyaenidae. The record is from RefSeq and is a predicted model, not a curated record. The transcript has 4 exons.